RNAcentral lists this transfer RNA (73 nucleotides) under Candidatus Woesearchaeota archaeon. Its description in RNAcentral is "tRNA-Gln". It matches the Rfam family "tRNA". Rfam says of the family: Transfer RNA (tRNA) molecules are approximately 80 nucleotides in length. Their secondary structure includes four short double-helical elements and three loops (D, anti-codon, and T loops). Further hydrogen bonds mediate the characteristic L-shaped molecular structure. tRNAs have two regions of fundamental functional importance: the anti-codon, which is responsible for specific mRNA codon recognition, and the 3' end, to which the tRNAs corresponding amino acid is attached (by aminoacyl-tRNA synthetases). tRNAs cope with the degeneracy of the genetic code in two manners: having more than one tRNA (with a specific anti-codon) for a particular amino acid; and 'wobble' base-pairing, i.e. permitting non-standard base-pairing at the 3rd anti-codon position. Lineage: Archaea; Nanobdellati; Candidatus Woesearchaeota. The record is from RNAcentral.
AGCCCCGUAGUGUAGUGGUCAAUCAUUGUGCACUUUGGAUGCGCAGACGGCAGUUCGAAUCUGCCCGGGGCUA